Molecule: ribosomal RNA, 446 nt
Filed under: uncultured bacterium
Lineage: Bacteria
Description: partial 16S ribosomal RNA
Rfam family: Bacterial small subunit ribosomal RNA
Source: RNAcentral
CCUACGGGUGGCAGCAGUCGAGAAUCAUUCACAAUGGCCGAAACCCUGAUCGUGCGACGCCGCGUGGGGGAAUGAAGGUCUACGGAUUGUACACCCCUUUUAUGUGGGAGCAAAUUAAAAAGAUAGUACCUCACCAGGAAGACACGGUUAACACUGAGCCAGCAACUGCGGUAAUACAGAGGUCUUAAGCGCUAUGCGGAAUCACUGGGCGUAAAGGGUGCGGAUGCUGUGUUGUAAGUCGUGGGUGAAAGGCGCGGGCUCAACCCGCGGACGGCACACGAUACUGGGAGUCUAGAGUAGUGGAGAGGGAACCGGAAUUCGCGGUGUAGCAGUGAAAUGCUUAGAUAUCGAGAAGAACACUGGUGGCGAAGGCAGGUUACUGGACAUGAACUGACGCUGAGGCACGAAGGCGAGGGGAGCGAAAAGGAUUAGAUACCCCAGUAGUC